Molecule: ribosomal RNA, 765 nt
Filed under: Triticum aestivum (bread wheat)
Lineage: Eukaryota; Viridiplantae; Streptophyta; Magnoliopsida; Poales; Poaceae
Description: partial small subunit ribosomal RNA
Source: RNAcentral
AUGGCGGUCGUGACGGUGCGCGAGGUGCUGUACAUGUACAGCGCCGUGCGGCAGGCGUACGAGCGGCUCCUAUCCGUGUGCGGCAGCCCGGAGAAGGCCCAGAACGCGGUGGCGCUGCUGGUGUGGCUGGACCAGGGCACCAUCUCCGCCAUCCACUUCGUCCCAGCCAUCGGCUCCGACGCUGUUGCCGUUAUGGCGUGGGAGGCCAACGCCGUCCUCGAGUGGCUCCGCAACCAGGUGCCUGCGGUCCCGGCCAUCCCGCUCAUCUCUGCGCUCUGCAUGCAAGGCGGCGUCCGCAUCGACCCGGGCUUAUUCGCCUUCCACCAGGACCUCGUCGUCCGCGGCGUUGCCCACUUCCUCGACGGUGCGGGCAAGUUCGUUUUCAAUGACCGCCUGCACGUCCUGCUCUGGAAGUCUGAGACUGGGCUGGUGGGCAACCCGCCGGAGCUCAUGGCACCCUACACCCAGCCUGUGGCCGUGCCGGAGGACUGCCGUUCUAUGUUCAUCACCUUUUCCAAGGGCAUGCCCCCCCAUCGUGAGGAGAUCUUUGAGUACUUCAGAGAGAAGUGGGGUGACUGCGUGGUCAGGGUGCUCAUGGAGAAGACGAAGGGAGGCCUCAUGCCCAUGUACGGCCGGAUCAUCUUCAAGACGGAGGCGAUCGUGAAGCUAGUGCUCAAUGGCGAGAGGCUCGUCAAGAUCUCCAUCAGACAUCGUCAGAUCUGGCUCCGCAAGUACGUCCCCAGGCCAACCAACGCCACUGCCUGA